UUAAGUUAAUAAGGGCGCACGGUGGAUGCCUUGGCACUAGGAGCCGACGAAGGACGUGACAAACGACGAUAUGCCUUGGGUAGCUGUAAGUAAGCGAUGAUCCAGGGAUUUCCGAAUGGGGGAACCCAACAGGUAAUACCUGUUACCUACAUCUGUUAAGGAUGUGAGGAGGAAGACGCAGUGAACUGAAACAUCUAAGUAGCUGCAGGAAGAGAAAGCAAAAGCGAUUGCCUUAGUAGCGGCGAGCGAAACGGCAGAAGGGCAAACCGAAGAGUUUACUCUUCGGGGUUGUAGGACUGCAAUGUGGACUCAAAGAUUAUAGAAGAAUGAUUUGGGAAGAUCAGCCAAAGAGAGUAAUAGCCUCGUAUUUAAAAUAGUCUUUGUACUUAGCAGUAUCCUGAGUACGGCGGGACACGUGAAAUCCCGUCGGAAUCUGGGAGGACCAUCUCCCAACCCUAAAUACUCCCUAGUGACCGAUAGUGAACCAGUACCGUGAGGGAAAGGUGAAAAGCACCCCGGGAGGGGAGUGAAAUAGAACCUGAAACCGUGUGCCUACAACAAGUUCGAGCCCGUUAAUGGGUGAGAGCGUGCCUUUUGUAGAAUGAACCGGCGAGUUACGUUAUGAUGCGAGGUUAAGUUGAAGAGACGGAGCCGUAGGGAAACCGAGUCUGAAUAGGGCGCCUUAGUAUCAUGACGUAGACCCGAAACCAUGUGACCUACCCAUGAGCAGGUUGAAGGUGCGGUAAGACGCACUGGAGGACCGAACCAGGGCACGUUGAAAAGUGCUUGGAUGACUUGUGGGUAGCGGAGAAAUUCCAAACGAACUUGGAGAUAGCUGGUUCUCUCCGAAAUAGCUUUAGGGCUAGCGUCGACAUUAGAGAUUCUUGGAGGUAGAGCACUGUUUGGGUGAGGGGUCCAUCCCGGAUUACCAAUCUCAGAUAAACUCCGAAUGCCAAUGAAUUAUGGUCGGCAGUCAGACUGCGAGUGCUAAGAUCCGUAGUCGAAAGGGAAACAGCCCAGACCACCAGCUAAGGUCCCAAAAUAAUUGUUAAGUGGAAAAGGAUGUGGGGUUGCACAGACAACUAGGAUGUUAGCUUAGAAGCAGCUAUUCAUUCAAAGAGUGCGUAAUAGCUCACUAGUCGAGUGACCCUGCGCCGAAAAUGUACCGGGGCUAAAACAAUUUACCGAAGCUGUGGAUACCUUUAUAGGUAUGGUAGGAGAGCGUUCUAUGUGUGAUGAAGGUAUACCGUGAGGAGUGCUGGAACGCAUAGAAGUGAGAAUGCCGGUAUGAGUAGCGAAAGACAGGUGAGAAUCCUGUCCACCGUAAGACUAAGGUUUCCAGGGGAAGGCUCGUCCGCCCUGGGUUAGUCGGGACCUAAGGAGAGACCGAAAGGUGUAUCCGAUGGACAACAGGUUGAUAUUCCUGUACUAGAGUAUGUAGUGAUGGAGGGACGCAGUAGGCUAACUAAAGCAGACGAUUGGAAGAGUCUGUCUAAGCAGUGAGGUGUGAAUUGAGUCAAAUGCUUAAUUCUAUAACAUUGAGCUGUGAUGGGGAGCGAAGUUUAGUAGCGAAGUUAGUGACGUCACACUGCCAAGAAAAGCUUCUAGCGUUUAAACAUACUCUACCCGUACCGCAAACCGACACAGGUAGUCGAGGCGAGUAGCCUCAGGUGAGCGAGAGAACUCUCGUUAAGGAACUCGGCAAAAUGACCCCGUAACUUCGGGAGAAGGGGUGCUGACUUAAAGUCAGCCGCAGUGAAUAGGCCCAAGCAACUGUUUAUCAAAAACACAGCUCUCUGCUAAAUCGUAAGAUGAUGUAUAGGGGGUGACGCCUGCCCGGUGCUGGAAGGUUAAGAGGAGUGCUUAGCGUAAGCGAAGGUAUGAAUUGAAGCCCCAGUAAACGGCGGCCGUAACUAUAACGGUCCUAAGGUAGCGAAAUUCCUUGUCGGGUAAGUUCCGACCCGCACGAAAGGCGUAAUGAUUUGGGCACUGUCUCAACGAGAGACUCGGUGAAAUUUUAGUACCUGUGAAGAUGCAGGUUACCCGCGACAGGACGGAAAGACCCCAUGGAGCUUUACUGCAGUUUGAUAUUGAGUGUCUGUACCACAUGUACAGGAUAGGUAGGAGUCUAAGAGAUCGGGACGCCAGUUUCGAAGGAGACGCUGUUGGGAUACUACCCUUGUGUUAUGGCCACUCUAACCCAGAUAGGUGAUCCCUAUCGGAGACAGUGUCUGACGGGCAGUUUGACUGGGGCGGUCGCCUCCUAAAAGGUAACGGAGGCGCCCAAAGGUUCCCUCAGAAUGGUUGGAAAUCAUUCGCAGAGUGUAAAGGUAUAAGGGAGCUUGACUGCGAGAGCUACAACUCGAGCAGGGACGAAAGUCGGGCUUAGUGAUCCGGUGGUUCCGUAUGGAAGGGCCAUCGCUCAACGGAUAAAAGCUACCCUGGGGAUAACAGGCUUAUCUCCCCCAAGAGUUCACAUCGACGGGGAGGUUUGGCACCUCGAUGUCGGCUCGUCGCAUCCUGGGGCUGUAGUCGGUCCCAAGGGUUGGGCUGUUCGCCCAUUAAAGCGGCACGCGAGCUGGGUUCAGAACGUCGUGAGACAGUUCGGUCCCUAUCCGUCGCGGGCGUAGGAAAUUUGAGAGGAUCUGCUCCUAGUACGAGAGGACCAGAGUGGACUUACCGCUGGUGUACCAGUUGUCUUGCCAAAGGCAUCGCUGGGUAGCUAUGUAGGGAAGGGAUAAACGCUGAAAGCAUCUAAGUGUGAAACCCACCUCAAGAUGAGAUUUCCCAUGAUUAUAUAUCAGUAAGAGCCCUGAGAGAUGAUCAGGUAGAUAGGUUAGAAGUGGAAGUGUGGCGACACAUGUAGCGGACUAAUACUAAUAGCUCGAGGACUUAUCCAA
Molecule: ribosomal RNA, 2900 nt
Filed under: Streptococcus pneumoniae
Lineage: Bacteria; Bacillati; Bacillota; Bacilli; Lactobacillales; Streptococcaceae
Also listed under: 6 other names
Description: bacterial LSU rRNA
Rfam family: Bacterial large subunit ribosomal RNA
Source: RNAcentral